AAACCAUAGCUCCCCCAAACAUUAGGAGCAGCCUUACCCUUGGCAGUAGUGAAUUUUCAACUCUCCCCAGUUUUACUUUCCACCACAUUUCCUGGGGAUGUACUACGGGUGCAUAGAUAAUUUAUCCUUUCUCAAAUCUCAUUAUUUUUUGCUUUGACCUACUUAAUCUCUCUAUAAUUAAUUCAAAAGCGAAUGACCAGCUUGUUCUGGUAAAAGAUCCAA
This 222-nucleotide long non-coding RNA is filed under the name Elaeis guineensis (African oil palm). Its description in RNAcentral is "long non-coding RNA (EGUI_LNC024703)". The record is from RNAcentral. Lineage: Eukaryota; Viridiplantae; Streptophyta; Magnoliopsida; Arecales; Arecaceae.